RNAcentral lists this ribosomal RNA (158 nucleotides) under Isomucor trufemiae. RNAcentral describes it as "5.8S ribosomal RNA". It matches the Rfam family "5.8S ribosomal RNA". From Rfam's summary of the family: 5.8S ribosomal RNA (5.8S rRNA) is a component of the large subunit of the eukaryotic ribosome. The record is from RNAcentral. Lineage: Eukaryota; Fungi; Mucoromycota; Mucoromycetes; Mucorales; Mucoraceae.
CAACUUUUAACAACGGAUCUCUUGGUUCUCGCAUCGAUGAAGAACGUAGCAAAGUGCGAUAACUAGUGUGAAUUGCAUAUUCAGUGAAUCAUCGAGUCUUUGAACGCAUCUUGCACCUGUUGGUAUUCCAACAGGUACGCCUGUUUCAGUAUCAAAAA